Molecule: long non-coding RNA, 841 nt
Filed under: Sorghum bicolor (sorghum)
Lineage: Eukaryota; Viridiplantae; Streptophyta; Magnoliopsida; Poales; Poaceae
Description: long non-coding RNA (SBIC_LNC018579)
Source: RNAcentral
UUUUUUUCUUUUUUUUGGGCAACCUCAAAAACUGAUUAUAUGAACAAAGGAAUACAAAAGAGCAAUUCGCUACACACACUUUUUUCUCUUUUCUCUCUCUCUCUCUCUCUAGAGUAAGGCCGAACAAGUAUGGAGUUAUCUUUCUUUUUGGAUCACAGUUCAAUUCGGACUUCACAACAGAUUCGACAGAGAGAAGAUAUGGUAAUACUCGGCUGUGUAUAGAUGGUGACAAGAACUCGAAUCUCUAAAGGACUAGACACUAAGACCAGCAACUCGACACAAACCAAAGCAACACAAAUUCAACAAGCCCUAACUAAAACGGUACUAGCCAAGGCACAAAGGUUAAUAGGAUUAUGGAAAAACUAAUCUACUAUAUAUUUUUUUUGGCUUUUCUGGACUAUAGGAAAUUAAUUAAAAACAGCAAAGGAUUAGAAGUCUCUCACCGAAGAACCUUGCUCUGAUUACCAACUGAUGUGAACCCACUAGGGUUUUCGCCCGAUCUUUCGAUGAGAGGCGCUGGAUAACUCGAUUAGUGAAUGGAGAUGACGUUCACGGCCCGACUACAGCCUUCUAAGGCCGCGCCUUAGCAACCGAUACACCGCCUCCAAUGGUUGUCACGAUCUUGUGGAGCGCAACACCCGGCCACUAGGGCACUCGUCCUGCAAGCAAUCGAAGAACCAGCAAGAACAAGUAGAACAAGUACUAAAUUACUAGAUGUAAAUGAAGGUUUCAAACUCAAUCUUUAAUGAAGUGGGGUUUCGAAAACAAGUAGACGGGCGGCUGGAUCAGCACGCGCGUUUACAAGCAAGUAGCGAAGGCUAAACUUUAUCUAAUCAAAACC